Long non-coding RNA from Pseudophryne corroboree (corroboree frog), 1316 nucleotides. RefSeq lists it as uncharacterized. The record is from RefSeq and is a predicted model, not a curated record. The transcript is spliced from 5 exons. Lineage: Eukaryota; Metazoa; Chordata; Amphibia; Anura; Myobatrachidae.
UUUAUUCGUUAUGUCAUUAAAUAUAAAAUUCAGCACAUGCUCCUUGGUAGAGCGUACACAUCCACGGUGCACAGAGGCGUAUCUAGUACGGGACGAGCAGGGCACAUGCCCUGGGCGCCGUGGCAGCCCCAGCAGAGGGGGGCGCCACCAGCACCUGCACGCCCCGCUCGCCCCAUGCGUCAGGGUUUCGGCGGCGCCGGCAAAGGAAGCGAGCGGGUCCUCGGCGUGUACAGUCUCAGAGCACUGCUGAGGAUUGUACAUCCACCCAGAGGCAGGGGCAGAAUGGGGCAGGGUCUCUGGCAGAGCGGUGCAGUGCCGUGUAUCCGGAGCCGGGCAGCGCGCUUUGUGCUGGGCAGGGAGCUCCCCCUGCUCUCCGGGGUGAUGGUCGGUGGAAGUUCUCCAUUACAGCAGACACAUGUCCGGCCCCGGAUUGGCGCUGGCCGUGCACGCCCUGCCUGCUGCCACCACAGCAGCCAGGCUGGCUGACAGGGGCCGGUACCCAGCUGGCGGGAGACACCGGGGGCGGUGGGAGAGUCCCUGCAGCGUCUUCCCGGUGUACUGCAGGCUGCACACAGUGUGGCCUGGGCGGUUAGUGUGUGUGGACUGCGGAGGAGGGAUGAGGACAUUGAGCGCCGGCGCAGCCCCCUGAGUGCGGCCACUGAGAGAACGGCUCCUGCACCCUCAACAUGUGGGCCAUCAACAGCAGGCAUCUUCUGGAUGAUGUGAUCUCCUACAUGAAUAGAGAAUACCAACUGAAGAUGCCACCUGCUUUAGAGAAUACAGUUCUUCAGAAGUUCCAUAUUGUGAUCAACCAUCAUAUAGGCCGGUGAGGCAACGCUGAGCUUGGACUCGUUGCCUAGGCAACACCGGCGCCCAGCGAUGACGCAAUCAGGAUGAGCUCCCACGUGCACUCCAUUCACCAUGCCUCCCUGCUCCCAGGUCUGCAGCCAGCUAAAUUGCUGGACUACUUAAAGGCUUGUUACCCUCCUUUUCCAGAGCACGCCUUCAGGAUCCCUACAGAAAACUAUAUACAUUGAUCCUUGAAUACAAGGGCUGAGAACCUGAUUCAAAGGCUAAGCAGAGGAAGCCGGUACUGGGAAACAGUGCUAUUGCUGUCUAUUGAGGCACCCACUGGCUGCAGCUGUAAUCCGCCUUGGUGUACACAAAGUCGCACUUUCGAGCGGACAUCGGCCCCACCAUCGGACUUCUAAGCAACCCAAAGUUCAGCUUUUAUCUAUCAGUUUUCUAUUCUAGAAAAUUAUAUACACUUUUAAUUUUUAGAAGUUUUAGUAAAUCUACCCCCAAGUUUUUUUUUC